Potamilus streckersoni is the source of this 74-nucleotide non-coding RNA. The record is from the annotation of a GenBank genome assembly. Lineage: Eukaryota; Metazoa; Mollusca; Bivalvia; Unionida; Unionidae.
GGCUCCGGUGGCGUAGUGGUUACUGCGUCCGACUCGGAUGCGAGAGAUAGUGGGUUCGAUUCCCGGCUGCGCCA